UCAUGCUAGAAAGAGCAUAUGGUGGAUGCCUUGGCACUAAGAGCCGAUGAAAGACGCGAUAAGCUGCGAAAAGCUUCGGGGAGGGGCAAAUACCCUUUGAUCCGGAGGUGUCUGAAUGGGGAAACCCGCAUGAGGAGCCCUCAUGCAUCCCUGCGCCAAUCCAUAACGCAGGGAGGGGAACCCGGCGAACUGAAACAUCUAAGUAGCCGGAGGAAGAGAAAACAACAAGUGAUUCCGUAAGUAGCGGCGAGCGAACACGGAGGAGCCCAAACCGGGGCGCGUGCGCCCCGGGGUUCGGACCGCGGAAGUGAUUCGGGAAGGCUAGCAGAACGGCUUUGGGAAAGCCGGCCAGAGAGGGUGAAAGCCCCGUAAGCGAAAGCCUGACAGACACGGCGGUAUCCAGAGUACCACGAGACACGAGAAACCUUGUGGGAAGAGGCGGGGACCACCCCGCAAGGCUAAAUACUCCUUAGUGACCGAUAGCGCAUAGUACUGUGAAGGAACGGUGAAAAGAACCCCGGGAGGGGAGUGAAAGAGAACCUGAAACCAUAUGUUUACAAGCUGUGGAAGGGCCUUACGUGCCCAACCGCGUACUUUUUGUAGAACGGUCCGGCGAGUUACGCCGGCUGGCAAGGUUAAGGGCUAAAGGCCCGGAGCCGAAGGGAAACCAAGUCUGAAUAGGGCGAAGGAGUCAGCCGGAGUAGACCCGAAACCGGGUGAUCUAUCCAUGUCCAGGUUGAAGUUGCCGUAAAAGGCAAUGGAGGACCGAACCCACAUCCGUUGAAAAGGGUGGGGAUGAGGUGUGGAUAGGGGAGAAAUUCCAAUCGAACCCGGAGAUAGCUGGUUCUCCUCGAAAUAGCUUUAGGGCUAGCCUCAUACGAGUCUUGCGGAGGUAGAGCACUGAAUUUCCUAGGGGGCGUCAAAGCUUACCGAAGAAUAUCAAACUCCGAAUGCCGCGUAGAUGAUGUAUGGGAGUCAGACUGCACGAGAUAAGUUGGGCAGUCGAAAGGGAAAGAGCCCAGACCUGCGGCUAAGGCCCCAAAAUGUGUGUUAAGUGGAAAAGGAUGUGGGAUUUCGAAGACAACUAGGAUGUUGGCUCAGAAGCAGCCAUGCAUUCAAAGAGUGCGUAAUAGCUCACUAGUCGAGAGGUCCCGCGCCGAAAAUGUCCGGGGCUGAAACACACUGCCGAAGCCCGGGGAUGUACCAAGUACAUCGGUAGAGGAGCAUUGGAUGCGGGAGGAAGCGGCACCGGAAGGAGCCGUGGACCGCAUCGAAGAGAGAAUGCCGGAAUGAGUAGCGAGAGGAAGGUGGGAAUCCUUCCGGCCGAAUAUCCAAGGUUUCCAGAGUAAAGCUGAUCUGCUCUGGGUAAGUCGGGGCCUAAGGCGAGGGCGGGAGCCGUAGCCGAUGGACAACAGGUUGAGAUUCCUGUACCGCGAUAUGACAGAACUGUGGGGACACGCGUGGAAAGCAUAAGCCGGGAAUGGAAAGACCGGCGCAAGCGGGGCAGGGGCUGCAUAGGCAAAUCCGUGCAGCGUAACCCGAAGCCGUGACGCGUACCGAACUGCAAGUAGGGAAGUAUGCGAGCCAUGCGUCAAGAAAAGCCGCUAUCGCUCAUAUCGCGCCCGUACCGCAAACCGACACAGGUAGAUGAGGAGAGAAUCCUAAGGCCGACGGGAGAAGCAUUGUCAAGGAACUCGGCAAAAUGACUCCGUAACUUCGGGAGAAGGAGUGCCAUAGAGAUAUGGCCGCAGAGAAUUGGCCCAAGCAACUGUUUAGCAAAAACACAGGUCUAUGCGAAGCCGCAAGGCGAGGUAUAUGGGCUGACGCCUGCCCGGUGCUGGAAGGUUAAGGGGAGAGGUUAGAGCGAUCGAAGCCUUGAACUUAAGCCCCAGUAAACGGCGGCCGUAACUAUAACGGUCCUAAGGUAGCGAAAUUCCUUGUCGGGUAAGUUCCGACCCGCACGAAAGGCGUAAUGAUUUGGGCACUGUCUCGACAAUGCACCCGGUGAAAUUGAAGUACCAGUGAAGAUGCUGGUUACCCGCGCCAGGACGGAAAGACCCCAUGGAGCUUUACUCCAGCUUGAUACUGGGAUCCGGUAUUGCAUGUACAGGAUAGGUGGGAGGCUAGGAAGCGAUGACGCCAGUCGUCGCGGAGCCGCUGUUGGGAUACCACCCUUGCAGUGCUGGGUUUCUAACCAGCAGCCGUGAACCGGCUGGGGGACAAUGUCAGGCGGGGAGUUUGACUGGGGCGGUCGCCUCCGAAAGGG
Molecule: ribosomal RNA, 2266 nt
Filed under: [Clostridium] scindens ATCC 35704
Lineage: Bacteria; Bacillati; Bacillota; Clostridia; Lachnospirales; Lachnospiraceae
Description: bacterial LSU rRNA
Rfam family: Bacterial large subunit ribosomal RNA
Source: RNAcentral